GCACACAGUAGGCGUUUUGCAACAUGCUGAGCUCUUAGCUAAGGGUUGCUCUAGCUCUGGGACUGGAGAGGACAGGGACAAAAGAGUCCAUCCCAGCAGAUUAAAUACAGCAAAGGAAAGCAAAUUUUAUGGUGGCUGAGAUCUCAGGAGGAGGAGGAGAAAGAAGAAGAGGGACUGGCUGCUUUGAAACAAGGGCAACUAAAGACCAACUAUGGAAGACUUAUACAAUAGAAAACCUGGUGUGGGUAGGUGAGAAGGUAAGUUGGUGAGAGACCUCGAGAUCACAUGGUAAGUUUCCUGAGAUACUCAAUGGACACAUCCUAAAGCCAUCUUCCCAGUUCUUCAAAGACUUGACCCAUUCAUGCCCGUUCAUGGAGGUAGAAAUGGAGACACAGAGACGUCAAAUAACCUUACCAUUUGAGGGCUGGAACCAGGAGCCAGAGGAAAAGAACUCCUGCGGAGCUGCUAAUCCGAGAGUCAACAGUCGACCGAGCUGAGCGGCUUCCCCGGAGGUGGGUGUCUAGCUCAGCCCCAACUGUGCAAACAGACCCUGCAGUCUGGGCUGCCCCAGGGGCGUGGUCUGAAGCAGCCGGUCCUGCCUGCCAGCUCGCCAGGCCCCUGGCUCCCUUUGUGCAUUUCUCAUUGAAUUGGGAGUUAGCUCAAAGGCAGGCUAGGGAAGGUCAAAGCCAAUUUGCAGGGUCAGAGGUCAAGGAGAAGAGAGGCACCCGACCGGUCGCCCGGAAGCUGGCUAACAGUUUGUCCUGACUGCUG
Molecule: long non-coding RNA, 771 nt
Filed under: Mus pahari (shrew mouse)
Lineage: Eukaryota; Metazoa; Chordata; Mammalia; Rodentia; Muridae
Description: lncRNA (MGP_PahariEiJ_G0006025.1)
Source: RNAcentral